GCUGCGGUGUCCGAGUGGUUAAGGAGAUGGACACACAAUCCAUUGGGCUCUGCCCGCACAGGUUCGAAUCCUAUCCGCAGCG
This 82-nucleotide transfer RNA is filed under the name Penaeus monodon (black tiger shrimp). Its description in RNAcentral is "tRNA-Val". It matches the Rfam family "tRNA". Rfam says of the family: Transfer RNA (tRNA) molecules are approximately 80 nucleotides in length. Their secondary structure includes four short double-helical elements and three loops (D, anti-codon, and T loops). Further hydrogen bonds mediate the characteristic L-shaped molecular structure. tRNAs have two regions of fundamental functional importance: the anti-codon, which is responsible for specific mRNA codon recognition, and the 3' end, to which the tRNAs corresponding amino acid is attached (by aminoacyl-tRNA synthetases). tRNAs cope with the degeneracy of the genetic code in two manners: having more than one tRNA (with a specific anti-codon) for a particular amino acid; and 'wobble' base-pairing, i.e. permitting non-standard base-pairing at the 3rd anti-codon position. Lineage: Eukaryota; Metazoa; Arthropoda; Malacostraca; Decapoda; Penaeidae. The record is from RNAcentral.